RNAcentral lists this ribosomal RNA (449 nucleotides) under Testudo hermanni. Its description in RNAcentral is "partial 16S ribosomal RNA". It matches the Rfam family "Bacterial large subunit ribosomal RNA", at positions 1857 to 2599 of the family's 2925-position model. The record is from RNAcentral. Lineage: Eukaryota; Metazoa; Chordata; Testudines; Testudinidae.
GCCUGCCCAGUGAUUAAACGGCCGCGGUAUCCUAACCGUGCAAAGGUAGCGUAAUAACUUGUCUUUUAAAUAAAGACUAGAAUGAAUGGCCAAACGAGGCUCUACCUGUCUCUUACAAAUAAUCAGUGAAAUUGAUCUUCCCGUGCAAAAGCAGGAAUAAUAUUAUAAGACGAGAAGACCCUGUGGAACUUCAAAUAUAUACCAAAUAUUUUCGGUUGGGGCGACCUCGGAACAAAACAAAACCUCCGAAAAAAGAACACCUAGAGCCACAAUUCAAAGAAGCGAUCCAAUACAUUUGAUCAACGAACCAAGCUACCCCAGGGAUAACAGCGCAAUCCCAUCCUAGAGUCCCUAUCAACGAUGGGGUUUACGACCUCGAUGUUGGAUCAGGACAUCCUGAUGGUGCAACCGCUAUCAAGGGUUCGUUUGUUCAACGAUUAAAGUCCUAC